RNAcentral lists this ribosomal RNA (468 nucleotides) under uncultured bacterium. Its description in RNAcentral is "partial 16S ribosomal RNA". It matches the Rfam family "Bacterial small subunit ribosomal RNA", at positions 28 to 507 of the family's 1533-position model. The record is from RNAcentral.
GACGAACGCUGGCGGCGUGCUUAACACAUGCAAGUCGAACGGAAAGGCCCUGCUUUUGUGUGGUGCUCGAGUGGCGAACGGGUGAGAAACCCGUGAGUAACCUGCCCUUGACUUUGUGAUAACUUCAGGAAACUGGGGCUAAUACCGGAUAGGAGCUCCUGCUGCAUGGUGGUGGUUGGAAAGUUUCGGCGGUUGGGGAUGGACUCGCGGCUUAUCAGCUUGUUGGUGGGGGAGUGGCUUACCAAGGCUUUGACGGGUAGCCGGCCUGAGAGGGUGAACGGCCACAUUGGGACUGAGAUACGGACCAGACUCCUACGGGAGGCAGCAGUGGGGAAUAUUGCACAAUGGGCGGAAGCGUGAGGAAGAAACGUCGCGUGCGGGAUGACGGCCAUCGGGUGGUAAACCGCAUUAGCCUGUGACGAAGCGUGAGUGACGGUAAUGGGUAAAGAAGCACCGGCUAACUACGUG